Molecule: long non-coding RNA, 2180 nt
Organism: Takifugu rubripes (torafugu)
Lineage: Eukaryota; Metazoa; Chordata; Actinopteri; Tetraodontiformes; Tetraodontidae
Source: Ensembl
GAACUCUGCCCUCUACUGGACUGGAAGUCCUUCAGUGUGGGCGUGGCUUACCGAGCCAGUCUGGGGCGUUUUGACCAAUUAGGGAAGAACGGCGGCUCGUGGUGUCUCCACGCCAGCCAGUGGCUGCAGACGUCGUUGUCUGUGAAGCACAACAACCGAGCGAAGGCUCUGGAUUGGCCGCUGCCUCAGCGAAUCGGGAUCUACUGCGACUGCAGCAACGGUAGCUGGGCGUGGCCGUAAAGGCGUCGGGUCACGUGAGGCGUUCCGCAGCUCCAAUGACGACCUCGUCUCUUUCAGGUGAUUUAAUGUUCAUCGAUGUCGAUCGACUUCGUCUUCUUCACGCCUUCAAAGCAAAGUUCAACCAGCCGCUGGUGCCCGCCUUCACUGUGUGGUGCGGGGGAAUCACCGUCUCCACGGGCCUGCAGGUUCCGACCUUUAUGGGCAGUUUUCUCUCCACCAGUCGGAGCCUCAGUAACCUGGCGCAGUAGAUGAUCUUCAUCAUCUUCAUCCUCUUCAUCCUCAUCGCCAGUGUUUAUUUAUUUUUCAUAUCUUUCAUUAAUUUAUUCUUUUAUCAAGCCACUGUCCAGAUGUAGAUAAUAUAUGAGAUGUGAUGUGAAAUGAGGGAAUAUUUGAACUGUAAACGUGUGUUUAGGAAGCUGAACUCAGGUUCAGGUUCUGGGCUCGUCUCCAAUUGGACCGAUGUUCAGCUUCAGCUCUGAUCUGUCGAAUAUUAUCGAUACGUUUUUAACGUCUCUGCUGUGAAUUUGAAGAUUUGAAUAUCAAAAAUGUCCUAGAAUGUGAAAAUAAACUUUCAUGUUUGUAAAACUUAAAUUCCGAUAUUCCGAUUUAUUUCCUCCAAAGCAACUGAUCCGAAGAUCAUCUGUGAUCUUUCCACACCAAAGGGGCCCAGCAGGAGGGCGCUGAGGUCCUGAGGCCCUCGGGGGUGUCAGGAACCUGCUGUUCCAGGACAACUUCUGAAAGAGGGAACUUCCUGUUCCCAUGACGACCGACACUUCCUGUGGAUCACCCAUGACAACAAGAAUAAGAAUUUGUGGAAAAGGUGGUUCUGCUGUCCACCAGCAGAGGGAGCUGCUGACCUGCUGCUCAGAAAAGGGGCGAACAGGAAGUGACACGAGCCAAAGAGGCUGAUGAAGAUGGAAGGUUUCAGAAGAAGAUGGCGUUUAUUAAAUAAUACUAAGAUCUCCUCUCCCUGGACCCGGCUCAUUAAUGGACCUAUUAGUGUGAGUCAGGUCGGCUCCUGAUGUGGACCCUGAUCCGUGCACGUGUUCUGGUGCACGUGACGACUGCUGGUCACCAAACACAGCUGACAGGAAGUGGAACAGCAGCAGGUCAAAGGUCAGGGGCCUUGGGGUGCCCUGAUCAGGUCUGAUUGGUGGUUGAUCACCUGGUGGAUCUCUAACAGCUGGGAUCCACCAGGUGGGAUCGGUCACACGCAGGUGCACGUGACUCUCCUGUCGUCUUCAUCCACCACAUACGUGUCCUUAGCAUGUUCUCUCGGCACACCCAGGUCUGACGCCUGGACAUCGUGAUCCCUACGGAGACCAGCCAACAGCAGCGUCCCCCGUCCGCUGGGACGUCCCCCGUCCGCUGGGACGUCCUCCCGUCCGCUGGGACGUCCUCCCGUCCGCUGAGACGUCCCCCGUCCGCUGGGACGUCCCCCAUCCGCUGAGACGUCCCCCGUCCGUUGAGACGUCCCCCGUCCGCUGAGACGUCCCCCGUCCGUUGAGACGUCCCCCGUCCGCUGGGACGUCCCCCGUCCGUUGAGACGUCCCCCGUCCGCUGGGACGUCCUCCGUCCGCUGAGACGUCCCCCGUCCGUUGAGACGUCCCCCGUCCGCUGGGACGUCCCCCGUCCGCUGGGACGUCCCCCGUCCGCUGAGACGUCCUCCGUCCGCUGGGACGUCCCCCGUCCGCUGGGACGUCCCCCGUCCGUUGAGACGUCCCCCGUCCGCUGGGACGUCCCCCGUCCGCUGAGACGUCCUCCGUCCGCUGAGACGUCCCCCGUCCGUUGAGACGUCCCCCGUCCGCCGGGACGUCCUCCCGUCUUCCUCUCCGCUCCGCUUGGAUCUCGGAAUGCCUCAAAGUGUUUGUGAGACCCACUGAAACAAUCAGCCCGUCGGCAUGGAAACGGAGUCUGAAUGAGCUCACCUGAGAGCACCG